UGGGGAAUAUUGGACAAUGGGCGAAAGCCUGAUCCAGCAAUACCGCGUGUGUGAAGAAGGCCUUAGGGUUGUAAAGCACUUUCAAUUGGGAGGAAAACCUGCCGGUCAAUACCCGGUAGCUUGACAUUACCUUUAGAAGAAGCACCGGCUAACUACGUGCCAGCAGCCGCGGUAAUACGUAGGGUGCGAGCGUUAAUCGGAAUUACUGGGCGUAAAGCGUGCGCAGGCUGUUUUGUAAGUCAGAUGUGAAAUCCCUGAGCUCAACUUAGGAACUGCGUUUGAAACUACAAGACUAGAGUACUGGAGAGGGAAACGGAAUUCACGGUGUAGCAGUGAAAUGCGUAGAUAUCGUGAGGAACACCAGAGGCGAAGGCGGUUUCCUGGACAGUUACUGACGCUCAGGCACGAAAGCGUGGGGAGCAAAAGGG
RNAcentral lists this ribosomal RNA (428 nucleotides) under uncultured bacterium. RNAcentral describes it as "partial 16S ribosomal RNA". It matches the Rfam family "Bacterial small subunit ribosomal RNA", at positions 355 to 776 of the family's 1533-position model. The record is from RNAcentral.